UUGCCGGUGUGAGUCCGGUCCGAGUAGCUGCCAGAGGCCCGGUAGCAGGCUGGCGGUUUCGUCCGAAGGGCGGGGUCGAAGUCCAACGUCAAAGGCCAUGAUGGGGGAGUGACGGUGCGGUCCGUAGCGUGA
Molecule: non-coding RNA, 132 nt
Filed under: Actinomadura mexicana
Lineage: Bacteria; Bacillati; Actinomycetota; Actinomycetes; Streptosporangiales; Thermomonosporaceae
Source: RNAcentral